Molecule: ribosomal RNA, 492 nt
Filed under: uncultured bacterium
Lineage: Bacteria
Description: partial 16S ribosomal RNA
Rfam family: Bacterial small subunit ribosomal RNA
Source: RNAcentral
AGUGAACGCUGGCGGUAGGCCUAACACAUGCAAGUCGAACGGCAGCACAGUAAGAGCUUGCUCUUACGGGUGGCGAGUGGCGGACGGGUGAGGAAUACAUCGGAAUCUACUUUUUCGUGGGGGAUAACGUAGGGAAACUUACGCUAAUACCGCAUACGACCUACGGGUGAAAGCAGGGGAUCUUCGGACCUUUCGCGAUUGAAUGAGCCGAUGUCGGAUUAGCUAGUUGGCGGGGUAAAGGCCCACCAAGGCGACGAUCCGUAGCUGGUCUGAGAGGAUGAUCGGCCACACUGGAACUGAGACACGGUCCAGACUCCUACGGGAGGCAGCAGUGGGGAAUAUUGGACAAUGGGCGCAAGCCUGAUCCAGCCAUACCGCGUGGGUGAAGAAGGCCUUCGGGUUGUAAAGCCCUUUUGUUGGGAAAGAAAAGCAGCAGGUUAAUACCACGCUGUUCUGACGGUACCCAAAGAAUAAGCACCGGCUAACUUCGUG